CGACGUAGGUAACCUGCCUGGUAGCGGGGGGUAACUAUUGGAAACGAUAGCUAAUACCGCAUAAGAACAUUUACUGCAUGGUAGAUGUUUAAAAGGUUGCAAAUGCAUCACUACCAGAUGGACCUGCGUUGUAUUAGCUAGUAGGUGAGGUAACGGCUCACCUAGGCGACGAUACAUAGCCGACCUGAGAGGGUGAUCGGCCACACUGGGACUGAGACACGGCCCAG
This 227-nucleotide ribosomal RNA is filed under the name uncultured bacterium. RNAcentral's name for it is "partial 16S ribosomal RNA". It matches the Rfam family "Bacterial small subunit ribosomal RNA", at positions 113 to 334 of the family's 1533-position model. The record is from RNAcentral.